Molecule: transfer RNA, 65 nt
Filed under: Leucophoroptera quadrimaculata
Lineage: Eukaryota; Metazoa; Arthropoda; Insecta; Hemiptera; Miridae
Description: tRNA-Trp
Source: RNAcentral
AAAGCUUUAAGUUAAAAAAACUAAUAACCUUCAAAGUUAUAAAUAUAAAUUAUUUAUAAGCUUUA